Molecule: non-coding RNA, 384 nt
Organism: Lampris incognitus (smalleye Pacific opah)
Lineage: Eukaryota; Metazoa; Chordata; Actinopteri; Lampriformes; Lampridae
Source: the annotation of a RefSeq genome assembly
AUGACUCUCUCCAUCUUCCUCAUCUGGACACUGCUCUGCUGCUGCCUCAUAGGAUCCAACAGUCAGGUGACUGUGACUCAGCCUCCGGUAGUGAAAUUUACUCCAGGAUCCACUGUCACUCUGAACUGUAAAACCAACCCAGAUGUUUACCAAAACAGUAAUGGUGAACGUCUGAACUGGUAUCAACAGAAAACUGGAGAAGCUCCAAAGCGCCUAAUAAAGCUUGUAAGCCAACGUGAAUCUCAAACACCAGCUCGGUUUAGUGGCAGUGGAAGCAGGACUGACUUCACUUUGACCAUCAGUGGAGUCCAGGCUGAAGAUGCAGCAGUUUACUACUGUCAGAGUUAUCAUUAUAUAAACAGUGUCAAUGAGUUCACACAGUGA